GGCCACGCCCAUGUGAACAGACAUUGGUUGAGAAUUAUGAAACACGCCCUUCUCUCCCCCACUACAAAAGCCCGUUGACGGAAGUCAAACUUUUGUUCCCGACGACAUGAGUCCUGAUGUCCAUACGUUUUAAAAGGGCUAAUUUCAACUACAACCUAACAAAAUUAACUUUAGUUCCCGAUGACGUGAGGACUGGUGUCCAUACAUUUAAAAGGGCUAAUUUCAACGUGGAGGUGAUGAUCACCACGCGGGAAUGGUGAAUUUCGACUAGACCAGCCAGAAUAUAGCACGAACUGAGUAUGGCAACUUGGUAUGAACUUUGAACUUUUAUUCAUUAAAGAAGUGAUAACUCAACUUCUACUGUAGGAUGUAUCAGCAGCAGCUGUAAACAUACGUGGCCUAGGAAAGGACAGACAAUCUCCUGAGAAGACAGGGUACAACAUAUUCACACUACAACACAACAGCAAGAGAUUCUACAAAGGACAAGGGCGUUCUCUGCUGGGCAAACCAGUCUUCCAUCUUCGACUCAUCUAUCGAAGCGCAGCUCAGUGACACUCCAGGAACUCAGGCUCAUGAUCCCAUCACAAUUGCAACAUCGUCGUCCUUCUACACACCGUUCUUCACGGGUCAGACACUGGGCACCAACUACACCAGGAAUUAUCUUCAGGUAUUCAACCUGAACAUCCGUCGUCAACCCUGAGAUGACUCCUUCGACAGAUGAUCUACUCCGAAGUUCAAAUCACAAAACUUCUGUUGUCUGGAUUCUUUUGGGGCCCACUGCAAUCUUCCUCUGCUCUUCAGAAUUACAAUGAGUCAAAAUAUGACCACUCCUGGUCACUCUGACAGACUUCACUUUUCCAAGCGCAUACUUCACCAAGUUCAUCCAAUGUCAAUUGCAUGAACUUGACAAAAUCAUGUGAUCAUAGGUCAUGAAGUUGGUUCAACGUAAUUUUAUAAAAAUUACGUGGAAACAACUUUGAUUCUACCAGUGUGUGCCCAGUGAGUAUUGUGAACCAAGGGUGUUUUUGUUUGACCCAUGUGAACGUGACCAAAGACAUGACAAAUAGGAACCAACUUUGCUGCAAUUCAUGAAUACAGUGGAUAUGUGCAGAUUAAUGUGAUAUUUGAGGUUCUCUCUCACCAAUUCAUUGUACACAUAUAUUUUUCAGUGUGUCAUGUCCUGACCAUAGAGAGCUCUUAUUUUCUAUGGUAGAGUAGGUCAGGGCGUGACUGGGGGGGUUUAUCUAGUUUAAUGUUGUUUGGUUGUAGUUUCUUUUUUCUAUGUUGGGGUUUUUGUAUAAUCCCCAAUUAGAGGCAGCUGGACAUCAUUGUCUCUAAUUGGGGAUCAUAUUUAAGUAGUUGUUUUUCCCACUUGUGUUUGUGGGAGAUUAUUUUGAGUUAGUGCAUGUAGCACCUCUGUCGUCGUGGUUUGUUUAUAGUUUAUUGUUUGUCUUGCAAAGUUUCACAUUAAAAUAAAAGAUGUGGAACGAUACCCACGCUGCGCCUUGCUCUCCUUCCUACGACGAUUGUGACAGUGUGUGAUAUAGGAGUUGGAGACGUUUAUUUCGACUUUUUAAAGAAUAAUUUGUAUAAACAAUGGCAACACUGCCAUGUUGUGCUAAGCCUUGCUGUUGUCUUAGGUCUCUACUUAUGUAGUGUUGUGUUGUCUCUCUUGUCCUGAUGUGUGUUUUGUCCUAUAUUGAUAUUUUAAUUUUUUUAUUUUUAAUCCCAGCCCCCGUCCCCGCAGGAGGCCUUUUGCCUUUUGGUAGGCCGUCAUUAGAAAUAAGAAUUUGUUCUUAACUGACUUGCCUAGUUAAAUAAAAUAAAUAAAUAAAAUGUUGGAAAAC
RNAcentral lists this long non-coding RNA (1847 nucleotides) under Salmo salar (Atlantic salmon). RNAcentral describes it as "lncRNA (ENSSSAG00000091025.1)". Lineage: Eukaryota; Metazoa; Chordata; Actinopteri; Salmoniformes; Salmonidae. The record is from RNAcentral.